GCGGGGGUGAGCAUGCGCACCGGGGAGACGGCGCUCGCUCGUGCCGGGGCCGCCCCUGCGAGCCCACAGCGCCGCCUGGGGACCGGAGGCCGUCGGCCCACGGCCGGGCCUGGGUACUGAACCAGAGCGGCACGCCCACUGCUCCGCUGCCGGACGAGGUUGGGAGUCGCUUGAGGCGCGAGCUUCCAGCGCCUAGUUAACAGGCUGAGUCCGCGGCGGGUCGGAGAGCGGCCACGUGCGGUGGCGUGCAGAGUCGCAAGCAUGCCUUCCCGCCCACCUGCCCACGCUGGGCUUGGGUGUCAGUGCUUGUCUCCAUAUAGAUAGUCACUUCUUGAAAGCCGCAGCCGCCAUCAAGAUAAUCUAAAUACGACCACAGCCUAACUACAUACACAAGGGAAACUUUCAUAAUGUCCAGAGCCCUUGAUGUCCUGUAAAUGAAGGAGGAGGAGGGUGUCCUCAAAUUCCUUGCGGCAGGAACCCACUUAGGUGGCGCCAACCUUGACUUCCAGAUGGAACUACAUCUAUAAAAGGAAAUGUGAUGGCAUCUGAAGAGAACGUGGGAGAAGCUUCUGCUGGCAGCUUGUGCCAUUGUUGCCGUUGAAAACGGCUCCCGUCAGUGUCCUAUCACCCAGGAAUCCUGGCCAGCGAGCUGGGCUGAAGUUUGCGGCUGCUACUGGAGCCGGUCCCACUGCCGGCCACUUCACUCCUGGAACCUUCACUAACCGGAUCCAGGCAGCCGUCCGGAAGCCGAGACUUGGGGUGGUUAGGAUCCCAGGGCUGACCACCACCCUCCCACAGAGGCGUCUUCUGGUAACCCCCCUGCCAUCACUCUGUGUAACACAAACUCUCCUCUGCGCCGUGUGGACAUUGCCGCGCCUUGCAACAACAAGGGAGCUCGCUCAGUGGGUCUGACGUGGUGGUCGCUGGUCCAGGAAGUUCUGCACGUGCGUGACGCCAUUUCCCGUGAACACCCAUGGGAGGUCACGCCUGAUCUCUGCUUCUACAGAGAACCUGAAGAGGUUGAAAAGGAAAAGGCUGUGAGCAAGGAGGAAUUGCAGGGUGGACGGACUGCUCCAGCUCCAGUGAGGUCACCGCUACUCAACCUCAAGUCGCAGACUGGUCUGCAGGCGCAGCAGGUGCCCUCUGUGCCUGUUCAGCAGUUCCCUCCUGAAGCCUGGCGCUCUCAGCCUGCCGUGCGGACCGGUGUGCAGCUCCCACUGUUCCGGGCACUGAGUUGGGAGGAACAACCCCGGAGUGGUCUUAAGCUGCCCCUCCACAAAGGCAAACAAAAUGGCAAUAAGGUUAACAGAAGUGAACAGUUUCAAGAUAGAUAGAUAGAUAAAUAAAUAAAUAAAUAAAUAAAUAAAUAAAUAGCACUUGCAAUGCACUAAGCAAAUGUUAAGCACUAGGGAUAUAACUGUGAACAAGACAGAUUUAAUAUUUGUUUCUGAAGCUCAUGUACAUGAGUCCCCUGCUUUUCAAAAGUUCACGUUACACCACUUCUCUUUAUGAAAGACCGAUGUUAGUACUUGUUUUUGACGACCAAAAGAAAUCCAAAAGAGGAUUUUCUCAAAAAGGCACGAAGCAAAAAUUGCGUUCAGCAUCUGUUUUGCAGUGAGUGGUUACAGAGGCAGUGUGCAUCCCAGGCCGCGAGAGUGACCCUGCCAAGCUCCUUCCCCUGGACCUUCCCCGGGAACUCGGCAUCUCAGCAUCAAGCUGCUUUAAACUGCGGCUGUGAGCAUCUGUGCUUUAUCUCAAUUUAUUUUGUACAUCUGUUGGCAAGACGGGUCCUAGGGUAUCAGAAAAGCCCAAGAAAGAUUAUUUUUUGGGUCUGAGAAUGCUAAAAACCUUUUCAUAUACAUUAAUGAUAAUUGUUUCUUUGCUCUCUGCCAUUUCUGCUUACAAAAGGUUUCAGAGGAACACCCUACUUUCCCAUAACAGGGGAAACCCGUACCUGGAAUAAAAGAUGAUAAACGAGUA
Molecule: long non-coding RNA, 1980 nt
Organism: Lynx canadensis (Canada lynx)
Lineage: Eukaryota; Metazoa; Chordata; Mammalia; Carnivora; Felidae
Exons: 2
Source: RefSeq, a predicted model, not a curated record